GACACAGCUCCAAUUGCGACUUGUUCUUGACAGCUUGCUGCCCAGUAAUCACAGAGGCAUAUGAAUUUUUGGAUCGAUUUGCAGGUUGCUUUUCCGAGUAUAUUUUAGAAGCCUCCAACAGCACAAGGCUGGGGAGAGAUCGACACUUCAAUAUGAUCGAUCAGAAUUCAAUCUUAAUUCCCUCCAUGAAAUCCGAAUGAAGUGAGACUCUAA
Molecule: long non-coding RNA, 213 nt
Filed under: Nicotiana benthamiana
Lineage: Eukaryota; Viridiplantae; Streptophyta; Magnoliopsida; Solanales; Solanaceae
Description: long non-coding RNA (NBEN_LNC001370)
Source: RNAcentral